RNAcentral lists this ribosomal RNA (432 nucleotides) under Scolopendra sp. CES091465. RNAcentral's name for it is "partial 16S ribosomal RNA". It matches the Rfam family "Bacterial large subunit ribosomal RNA", at positions 1928 to 2600 of the family's 2925-position model. The record is from RNAcentral. Lineage: Eukaryota; Metazoa; Arthropoda; Chilopoda; Scolopendromorpha; Scolopendridae.
UAGCCGCGGUAUUUUGACCGGGCGAAGGUAGCAAAAUAAUUAGGCUAUUAAUUGUAGCCUUGUAUGAAGGGUUCGACAAAGGGAAGCUUUUUUAUUUGUAGGGUUGAAUUUGAAGAGUUAGGGAAAAGGCUAAUAUGAAAUAUAAAGACAAAAAAACCCUAUUGAGUUUUAUAUAUUAUUAUUUUUGGAAUAGAAGAUAAAAGUAAAACUAUAUUUGGUUGGGGCGACUUCUGUAAGAAAACAUUGAAUUAGGGUUAAAGGUUAAUGAUCCGUUAUUAACGAUUGAUAGAUCAAAUUACCAUAGGGAUAACAGCAUAAUUUUAUUGUAGAGUUCUUAUCGAAUUUAAAGUUUGUGACCUCGAUGUUGGAUUAAGAUGGCUAUUAGGUGCAGGUGCUUAAUUAGUUAGACUGUUCGUCUAUUAAAGUCUUACA